This 440-nucleotide ribosomal RNA is filed under the name uncultured bacterium. Its description in RNAcentral is "partial 16S ribosomal RNA". It matches the Rfam family "Bacterial small subunit ribosomal RNA", at positions 338 to 795 of the family's 1533-position model. The record is from RNAcentral.
CCUACGGGUGACAGCAGUGGGGAAUAUUGCACAAUGGGGGAAACCCUGAUGCAGCGAAGCCGCGUGAGGGAAGAAGGAAUUCGUUAUGUAAAGCUCUAUUAGCAGGGAAGAAAAUGACGGUACCUGAGUAAGAAGCCCCGGCUAACUACGUGCCAGCAGCCGAGGUACUACGUAGGGGGCAGCCCUUUACCGGAUUUACUGGGUGUAAAGGGAGCGUAGACGGCAGUGCAAGUCCGGAGUGAAAGGCGGGGGCUCAAACCCCGGACUGCGCUGGAAACUGGACGGCUGGAGUGGAGGAGAGGUAAGCGGAAUGCGUGGUGUAGCGGUGAAAUGCGUAGAUAUUAGGAAGAACACCAGUGGCGAAGGCAGCAUACUGGACUGUAACUGACGUUGAGGCACGAAAGCGUGGGGAGCGAACAGGAUUAGAUACCCGGGUAGUC